CGAGCGGACAGAUGGGAGCUUGCUCCCUGAUGUUAGCGGCGGACGGGUGAGUAACACGUGGGUAACCUGCCUGUAAGACUGGGAUAACUCCGGGAAACCGGGGCUAAUACCGGAUGCUUGUUUGAACCGCAUGGUUCAAACAUAAAAGGUGGCUUCGGCUACCACUUACAGAUGGACCCGCGGCGCAUUAGCUAGUUGGUGAGGUAAUGGCUCACCAAGGCGACGAUGCGUAGCCGACCUGAGAGGGUGAUCGGCCACACUGGGACUGAGACACGGCCCAGACUCCUACGGGAGGCAGCAGUAGGGAAUCUUCCGCAAUGGACGAAAGUCUGACGGAGCAACGCCGCGUGAGUGAUGAAGGUUUUCGGAUCGUAAAGCUCUGUUGUUAGGGAAGAACAAGUACCGUUCGAAUAGGGCGGUACCUUGACGGUACCUAACCAGAAAGCCACGGCUAAACUACGUGCCAGCAGCCCGCGGUAAAUACGUAGGUGGCAAGCGUUGUCCGGAAUUAUUGGGGCGUAAAGGGCUCGCAGGCGGUUUCUUAAGUCUGAUGUGAAAGCC
RNAcentral lists this ribosomal RNA (561 nucleotides) under Bacillus subtilis. RNAcentral's name for it is "bacterial SSU rRNA". It matches the Rfam family "Bacterial small subunit ribosomal RNA", at positions 63 to 602 of the family's 1533-position model. The record is from RNAcentral. Lineage: Bacteria; Bacillati; Bacillota; Bacilli; Caryophanales; Bacillaceae.